RNAcentral lists this ribosomal RNA (259 nucleotides) under uncultured bacterium. RNAcentral's name for it is "partial 16S ribosomal RNA". It matches the Rfam family "Bacterial small subunit ribosomal RNA", at positions 79 to 339 of the family's 1533-position model. The record is from RNAcentral.
CUUGCUCUCUGAUGGCGAGUGGCGAACGGGUGAGUAACAUAUCGGAACGUGCCUAGUAAUGGGGAAUAACUAAUCGAAAGAUUAGCUAAUACCGCAUACGACCUACGGGGGAAAGGGGGGGAUCGCAAGACCUCUCACUAUUGGAGCGGCCGAUAUCGGAUUAGCUAGUUGGUGGGGUAAAGGCUCACCAAGGCGACGAUCCAUAGCUGGUCUGAGAGGAUGAUCAGCCACACUGGGACUGAGACACGGCCCAGACUCC